Molecule: long non-coding RNA, 2184 nt
Filed under: Solanum tuberosum (potato)
Lineage: Eukaryota; Viridiplantae; Streptophyta; Magnoliopsida; Solanales; Solanaceae
Description: long non-coding RNA (STUB_LNC010166)
Source: RNAcentral
GGGAAAAAAUAGAAAAAAAGAAAGGGUUUGGGCAAGAACUUAACUGUGAGUUGCGGCGUCCCACGAGAGUGACCAUAUUCAGGUAAGAACCUCAAAUUUGAACUCUUUAAUCCCAUAAUAAAUUGUAUAUUCAUGAAUUAAUGAAUGUGUUGUCACUUGGAGGGGAAGGAGUAUUAUAUUGGUUUUUAGAAUGCAUUAUUCUUUCAAUUAAUGUUGUUGUACGUGGAUUUGGGAAUUUGGGGUACAAGUUUUAGUGGGGUAUUCAUGUGAGGUAGGUCAGGAGGUAAGGAAUUGGAUGUUGGGCAACAUGUUACAGUGGGGGAAGAGAAAGUAUUGUCCUCGAUUGUUAAUUAAUGAGGUGCUAAUGAUUACUAUUUCAGAGAAGGCAUAAUUUCUGUAUAUUUCUAACCAUAAAUUGACACCACCGACAUUUUUAUGUGGCUCCGUUGUUUGAGAUUUUCUUUAGUUAUCAUAUUAUGACUCACGUUUUAAUAUCUUGAGUAGGUAGUUAAAUAUUAGAAGUAUGGUAUUACGUGAAUACCAUUCGAAUUAUGAUAUUGGGAAAAUUGGGACUUAACCCUAGACUUGAAACUUGGAAAAUAUGAUAGUUGAAAUGUUGAUUGACAUCAAGAUUUACGAACUGGAUUAUAAAUUUGGGUGAAUUGUUGGUUCAAGGCUAAACACAUAGUAAUGUGGGUGUUGUUAAUUUCAAAAUCUUAUGGUAGGAAUUUGUUUGGAUAGAUUGUAUUGAUUUGGUGCCCAGUGUAAGGGGAAGACUCAAGUCCCGGAGUGAUUGUUCGACUAUUUGAGGCAAGUGAAUUUCUAAACCCUUGUUAAGUGUAUGGAAUUCGUGUAUUUCCUUGUAACAUGUGUUUGGAGGUAAUGAGACUUGGUGAUGGGUUGACUUGUCCACAUUGAUUAAUUCUAAUAAUGGAAAAGGGGUAAUAAAAGGCAAUGUGAUUAAUUAUUUGUGUGUGAUGUGUUGAGAAUUGUUUGUGACGGGCAUUGGUACGAAUAUCGGUGUUAUAAAGGGAAAGUUUAUUACUAUAGAAUACAGAUUGUAAUCCGAGAAUGUCAAAGCAUAUGGGCAUUAGCUGAUAUAUUAUUGACUUGAUUUAUUAUGUGUGAUUGUGUUCUUUAUUAAACCCGUAUACUGGUGAUAGCUGAGGUAAUUGCAUAUCAUAUUGAUAUUUGAUUAAGAUACAUCAUUCCUUUUAUUGAAAUCAUAUUGUGCACAUGUAUUGACAUGAGAUUGAGUAUAAGUUGGGCACGUGGAGAUCGUCCGUGCUAGGGAUGGUAAGAUGUUAAAAUUAUAAUUUGGCACGUGGAGAUCGUUCGUGUGAAAUUUGUUUGAUUCAUGAUAGUGCGUUGAGACCGUCCGCACAAACACGUAAAGAUCGUCUGUGUCGGUAUAUGGACCUCGCGAGUCCCCCAUGCGUCAUGAACUCUCGAUGUAUUUCCGAGGAGUAUCAUGUAUAUACGGUUGAGAGAGUACUUGGUAUUCUGAGGCAUAUCAUUUCAUGGUGUCAUAUUGCAUUGCAUCCCAUGACGUCCUUCAUUCUUGAUGAUUAUAUAUUUUAUUGAUGGUUGGAAAGUACCUGAUGUUUGAUUACCUCUAUUUGAUGAAUUUGAUCUUAUGUGUUGUUGAUAUUUGUGAGUGCCUUUUUGUGAAAGUUGUGAUUGAUGAAUAUUGAGUUUGUUGUUGAGGAUAUGUAAUUUGUUAAAGUGAUUGUUGUUGAGCUGAGUGUUAUGUAAAUUGUGAACUGUUAGGUUGGACUGGUUUUAUGCAGGUUGUAGUUGUAGAGGUUCGGUUGGGGUGUAAUGAGUACCCGUAUUCUAUUCCCUUAGCUUGUGUUUAGAGAUGUACUUGCUGAGUAUCGUGUGGUUUGGUACUCACCCCUUGCUUCUACAAUUUUUUGUAGGUUACGAGCCUGGAUUUUGUGAUACUUUCCAUUCUCCUAUUUUCCGAGGCUUUUUGGAGAUUUGUGAAGUAGUUGUUUAUCAUCUCAGUGGACCUUCUUACUCCUUAUUUAUGAUAUUGUUCUAUUUUAGAGACAACAUCAUUUGAGACUUACGUUUUCUUUCAAAUCUAUUGUAAUACUUUAGAGGCUUGUACACGUGACAACCAGAUUUUUGGGGUAUUUUUGAGUUAAUUAUGAAAUUUCUGUAUUUUAAUGUAAUGGG